This 253-nucleotide ribosomal RNA is filed under the name uncultured bacterium. RNAcentral describes it as "partial 16S ribosomal RNA". It matches the Rfam family "Bacterial small subunit ribosomal RNA", at positions 524 to 776 of the family's 1533-position model. The record is from RNAcentral.
UACGUAGGUGGCAAGCGUUGUGCGGAAUUAUUGGGCGUAAAGGGCGCGUAGGCGGUUUCUUAAGUCUGAUGUGAAAGCCCCCGGCUCAACCGGGGAGGGUCAUUGGAAACUGGGAAACUUGAGUGCAGAAGAGGAAAGUGGAAUUCCAAGUGUAGCGGUGAAAUGCGUAGAGAUUUGGAGGAACACCAGUGGCGAAGGCGACUUUCUGGUCUGUAACUGACGCUGAGGCGCGAAAGCGUGGGGAGCAAACAGG